GGGUAGUUUGACUGGGGCGGUCUCCUCCUAAAGAGUAACGGAGGAGCACGAAGGUUGGCUAAUCCUGGUCGGACAUCAGGAGGUUAGUGCAAUGGCAUAAGCCAGCUUGACUGCGAGCGUGACGGCGCGAGCAGGUGCGAAAGCAGGUCAUAGUGAUCCGGUGGUUCUGAAUGGAAGGGCCAUCGCUCAACGGAUAAAAGGUACUCCGGGGAUAACAGGCUGAUACCGCCCAAGAGUUCAUAUCGACGGCGGUGUUUGGCACCUCGAUGUCGGCUCAUCACAUCCUGGGGCUGAAGUAGGUCCCAAGGGUAUGGCUGUUCGCCAUUUAAAGUGGUACGCGAGCUGGGUUUAGAACGUCGUGAGACAGUUCGGUCCCUAUCUGCCGUGGGCGCUGGAGAACUGAGGGGGGCUGCUCCUAGUACGAGAGGACCGGAGUGGACGCAUCACUGGUGUUCGGGUUGUCAUGCCAAUGGCACUGCCCGGUAGCUAAAUGCGGAAGAGAUAAGUGCUGAA
Molecule: ribosomal RNA, 513 nt
Filed under: Escherichia coli
Lineage: Bacteria; Pseudomonadati; Pseudomonadota; Gammaproteobacteria; Enterobacterales; Enterobacteriaceae
Description: partial 23S ribosomal RNA
Rfam family: Bacterial large subunit ribosomal RNA
Source: RNAcentral